This 489-nucleotide ribosomal RNA is filed under the name uncultured bacterium. RNAcentral describes it as "bacterial SSU rRNA". It matches the Rfam family "Bacterial small subunit ribosomal RNA", at positions 29 to 514 of the family's 1533-position model. The record is from RNAcentral.
AACGAACGCUGGCGGCGCGCUUAAUACAUGCAAGUCGAACGAGAAGGUGUAGCAAUACACUUGUAAAGUGGCGAACGGGUGAGGAAUACAUGGGUAACCUACCCUCGAGUGGGGAACAACCAGCCGAAAGGUUGGCUAAUACCGCGUACGCUUCCGGGUCUUCGGAUUCGGAAGGAAAGUCAUACCGUGGGUAUGACGCUCAAGGAUGGGCUCAUGUCCUAUCAGCUUGUUGGUAGGAACGGCCUACCAAGGCUUCGACGGGUAGCUGGUCUGAGAGGACGAUCAGCCACACUGGCACUGCGACACGGGCCAGACUCCUACGGGAGGCAGCAGUAAGGAAUAUUGCGCAAUGGGCGAAAGCCUGACGCAGCGACGCCGCGUGGGGGAUGAAGGUCUUCGGAUUGUAAACCCCUUUCGGGAGGGAAAUGGAACGAGCAAUCGUUCGGAUGGUACCUCCAGAAGCAGCCACGGCUAACUUCGUGCCAGCAG